RNAcentral lists this ribosomal RNA (497 nucleotides) under uncultured bacterium. RNAcentral's name for it is "partial 16S ribosomal RNA". It matches the Rfam family "Bacterial small subunit ribosomal RNA", at positions 28 to 507 of the family's 1533-position model. The record is from RNAcentral.
GAUGAACGCUGGCGGCGUGCCUAAUACAUGCAAGUCGAGCGAACGGACGGGAAGCUUGCUUCUCUGACGUUAGCGGCGGACGGGUGAGUAACACGUGGAUAACCUACCUAUAAGACUGGGAUAACUUCGGGAAACCGGAGCUAAUACCGGAUGAUAUAUUGAACCGCAUGGUUCAAUAGUGAAAGACGGUUUUGCUGUCACUUAUAGAUGGAUCCGCGCUGCAUUAGCUAGUUGGUAAGGUAACGGCUUACCAAGGCGACGAUGCGUAGCCGACCUGAGAGGGUGAUCGGCCACACUGGAACUGAGACACGGUCCAGACUCCUACGGGAGGCAGCAGUAGGGAAUCUUCCGCAAUGGGCGAAAGCCUGACGGAGCAACGCCGCGUGAGUGAUGAAGGUCUUCGGAUCGUAAAACUCUGUUAUUAGGGAAGAACAAAUGUGUAAGUAACUAUGCACGUCUUGACGGUACCUAAUCAGAAAGCCACGGCUAACUACGUG